RNAcentral lists this ribosomal RNA (253 nucleotides) under uncultured bacterium. RNAcentral's name for it is "partial 16S ribosomal RNA". It matches the Rfam family "Bacterial small subunit ribosomal RNA", at positions 524 to 776 of the family's 1533-position model. The record is from RNAcentral.
UACGUAGGGUGCAAGCGUUGUCCGGAAUUAUUGGGCGUAAAGAGCUCGUAGGCGGUUCGUCGCGUCGGCUGUGAAAACCUGAGGCUCAACCUCAGGCCUGCAGUCGAUACGGGCGGACUUGAGUGUUGCAGGGGAGACUGGAAUUCCUGGUGUAGCGGUGAAAUGCGCAGAUAUCAGGAGGAACACCGGUGGCGAAGGCGGGUCUCUGGGCAACUACUGACGCUGAGGAGCGAAAGCGUGGGGAGCGAACAGG